GCAGCCACAGCAGUGGUUUCAUUAUCAAAACUCCAGCAAGCAUUCCAGCCAGACUAAUUCCCCGCUGGAUUCACUUAAUGUAGAUCCUCACAAACGAUUACAUGUAAACGUGAGAGGCACCCAGUUUGGAUUCCAGACCAGAAGAAAUCCAGGAAUGGAUUUAAAAAGGAAAGCUGGUUCCCAUCUCCCUGGAGAAUUUAUCUUUAUUAAAGAUGCAAAGGAUCCAGUGGAGGUCUCUGAGGCCCUGGGAGAUGGUAGAGCCACACCAUGAAGGUGCCUGGGUCCCUGAAUGACUGCAUGGAGCUCACUCUACAUUGGACUGUGACACAAGCAAGAAAGGUAGACACUUAGGAGUGGAAUUGCUGAGUCAUACAGUAAUUCUAUGUUUAACAUUUUGAGGAGCUGCCAAACUGUUUCCAAAAUGGCUGCAACAUUCUAUAUUUCCAUCAGCAAGAAGGGCCCAUGUGGCAAGGAACUAAGGGCAGUCUCUGGCCAAAAGCCCACAAGUAACUGAAUUCUGCCAAUAACCAUGAGUUUGGAAGUGGAUCCUUCCCCAUUCGAGUCUCAGAUGAGUCCCCAGCCCUGGCCAACAUCUUCAUGUGCUGUGAGAGACCAUUAAGCAGAGGACCCAGCUAAGCUCUGCCCAGAUGCUCAAUCCACAGAAAAAGAUACUAAGUGUGUGUUGUUUUAAGCUGCUACAUUUGCAGUGGUUUGAUAUGCAGCAAUAGAUAACUGAUACUGCUGUUAAUUGCUUUCUAUUACAAUCAGCUGGAAUAACUGCCCUUGUGCCUACAAUCAGAGAUGUAUUUUGGGAUCAAUUCCCAGACCUGAGAUUGUUCAGUCUAAGGGUAAGGAUAUUUAAUGUGGAAAAAUAACACUAAAUUGUCCUCCAAAAAUA
RNAcentral lists this long non-coding RNA (898 nucleotides) under Homo sapiens (human). Its description in RNAcentral is "long intergenic non-protein coding RNA 2030". The record is from RNAcentral. Lineage: Eukaryota; Metazoa; Chordata; Mammalia; Primates; Hominidae.